This is a long non-coding RNA of Catharus ustulatus (Swainson's thrush), 428 nucleotides long. RefSeq lists it as uncharacterized. The transcript is spliced from 3 exons. Lineage: Eukaryota; Metazoa; Chordata; Aves; Passeriformes; Turdidae. The record is from RefSeq and is a predicted model, not a curated record.
CAAUCCCAGUGACUCCCAGUCAAUCCCAGUGACUCCCAGGUUAACGUAGGUUCAUCCCAGUGACUCCCAGUCCAUCCCAGUCCAUCCCAGUUCAAUCCCAGUUACUCCCAGUUGAUCCCAGGUCAGUCCCAGUGACUCCCAGGUUACUCCCAGUCAAUCCCAGUUCAAUCCCAGUCAAUCAUAGACCAAUCCCAGUUCAAUCCCAGUUCAUUACGGUCAAUCCUAGGUUAAUGUAGGUUAUUCCCAGUGACUCCCAGUACAUCCCAGUUCAAUCCCAGUUACUCCCACUCAAUCCCAGUUCAGUUCCAGUGACUCCCAGGUUACUCCCAGUCAAUCCCAGUCAAUCAUAGAUCAAUCCCAGUCGAUCCCAGUCCAUCCCAGUUCAAUAUCAGUUCAAUCCCAGUGACUCCCAGGUUACUUCCAGUCAA